GAAAGCUCGGUCUUAGCGCCAUCUUCUUUGAGACUCCUGCGCCAUGAGAGCGAAGGGCGGAAGAAGAGAAUGCGCAGGCUGAAGCGCAAGAGAAGAAAGAUGAGGCAGAGGUCCAAGUAAACCAUUUUGUGCACCCACGAAGCCUGCGGGAGCAGAAGUAAGGGAUGCUGGAGCCCGGAACGCCGGAACAAGUAGUUGGACUGUAUGCUGCUGUCGGUAAUAAGUCUCAGUAGACCUGGAAUGUCACCUCGCCGAGGUCAGCUGGGAAAAUGACUACCUUCCUCACAACCAAAACAGUCCCGCUGGCCCUCUGCCCUGGACCUUUGGCAUUCUGGACUAGUUCUGUUCUCUCUUGUGGCCAAGUGUAACUCGUGUACAAUAAACCCUCUUGCUGUCAGCUGAAGAAUCAAAAAAAAAAAAAAAAUAGAGAAGAAAACUAAGU
RNAcentral lists this long non-coding RNA (442 nucleotides) under Rattus norvegicus (Norway rat). Its description in RNAcentral is "long non-coding RNA NONRATT007139". The record is from RNAcentral. Lineage: Eukaryota; Metazoa; Chordata; Mammalia; Rodentia; Muridae.